UACGGGGGGAGCAAGCGUUGUUCGAAUUUACUGGGCGUAAAGGGCGCGUAGGCGGUCAGCACAAGUCAGUUGUGAAAUCUCCGGGCUUAACUCGGAAAGGUCAACUGAUACUGUGCGACUAGAGUGCAGAAGGGGCAACUGGAAUUCUCGGUGUAGCGGUGAAAUGCGUAGAUAUCGAGAGGAACACCUGCGGCGAAGGCGGGUUGCUGGGCUGACACUGACGCUGAUGCGCGAAAGCCAGGGGAGCGAACGGG
Molecule: ribosomal RNA, 254 nt
Filed under: uncultured bacterium
Lineage: Bacteria
Description: partial 16S ribosomal RNA
Rfam family: Bacterial small subunit ribosomal RNA
Source: RNAcentral